RNAcentral lists this long non-coding RNA (483 nucleotides) under Panax ginseng (ginseng). RNAcentral describes it as "long non-coding RNA (PGIN_LNC000531)". The record is from RNAcentral. Lineage: Eukaryota; Viridiplantae; Streptophyta; Magnoliopsida; Apiales; Araliaceae.
AAGUGUUGAACUUAUGAUCCAUAUGAGGGAAGAUCUACAUGAUAUAUGAUAUUUUAUGGUUAGAUCUUGCCAUUUUUAGGGUUGAUAAGCUUGAACAAAGAAGAUGAACCAAAACAGUUUUUUUGUUUUAAAUGAAUUAAUGAACUGCUGCUCUAAAUAGAAAAUUUCGGAUUUGUUAAGGUGCUCUAAAAAUUCUGGACUUGUGAUAUGUUAUAGUACACUCAAUAAGCUUUCCAUAGACUCCGAAACGGACUAAAUCCGAUAUCGGAGGAGCAAGUUAUGGGAUUUUUACCAAACUACACAAAGUUAAGAAAACUGUGAAAAGGACAGUUUUGGAGCAGUCACUUCCGGGCUAAAUUCCGGGAGCUAAACAUAUCCAAAUAUGGGUUGUGAUAUAUAAAAACUAUAGUUCGGAAAGAUACGAAUCCAAAAAAAUUGACGGAUCAUUAAUCGGAGUUACAGAUUUCGUUUUAUUUAAGUUUU